RNAcentral lists this long non-coding RNA (739 nucleotides) under Calidris pygmaea (Spoon-billed sandpiper). Its description in RNAcentral is "lncRNA (ENSCPGG00000009544.1)". The record is from RNAcentral. Lineage: Eukaryota; Metazoa; Chordata; Aves; Charadriiformes; Scolopacidae.
UUUGGAAAUAGAAGGGUUAGUUUUAUGGUCAGGAUUGAAGUGGCUGAGAGCGUCCAAAGGUACCAGCAGCCUUUGAACAUCACCAACAGAUGUAAGCGCCUGCAUGUGGAUUUCUGGAACUCCAGGUAUGGGACAGCUGGCAGCAGUCAUCUUCAUCUUGGUAUUGGUAUCUACACACCAUCUCACUGCAGGUGAUGGCCAUGAUCCGUUGCUUGUCUUGGAUGGUUAUGAGGAUGACGGUAUUAGACUCAAAUGUUUCUCUGGGAGGUUGUUUUCUGAAGUCCAGGUGUUGUGGACAGACGGUAGAGGAGGUAAUCUCACUGGGACUCCUCUCACCACCGACACCACCACUGCUAAUGCCAGCAGCUCCAUCAUUCUGAAACCAGAAUCUGGAAACUCUGUGUCCUGCAGAAUAAUCGAUAAACUGCUGAAAACAUCAACAGAAUCUUCAGUUGUCAUUGCAAAUGUCUUCUUUCCUGCCACCUCCCCUUGGCUGGCGGCUUUCAUCGUGAUCUUGCUCUUGGGCAUAUUCCUGGUUAUUGCUGCAAUUUAUAAACUCAGAAAGAACAGUAAGAUUACUACUCGUGAAAGUAAGUCUUAUUAUUACUAUAUUUAAAAGUCAUAUUAAUACUGUAUUUCAUCAUGAACAUCUUGAAAGAUAGGUGAAACACUGGAAAUGUUGGCCAGUGAUAGAAACCAUGGGAAUAAAUAGUUGUAUUCCUAAGUUUUUUUUAUGACA